Molecule: long non-coding RNA, 403 nt
Filed under: Mytilus galloprovincialis (Mediterranean mussel)
Lineage: Eukaryota; Metazoa; Mollusca; Bivalvia; Mytilida; Mytilidae
Source: RNAcentral
GUGUGUGGAAAUGUAUCAGACUGGCAAACUUAUAAUUUAGUAUAUAUUAAUCAAGCUGUAUUAUAUUAUCAUAAAAUAGCAAAACAGAAUCAGUAUAUAGCUUUAAUAAUAUAAACAAGUCUAAAUUGAAAACAACGUUCAAACCAGUGAUUGCGUUGGAUAAAAACCGCAAUUUUUAUACGUGUGCAUGUAACAAAUUUCGUUGUAGAGGGGUCUAAAUACAGCAUUUUCCAAAAGCCCAAAAGAGUGAAAAAUAUAUUUUAACAAUUUUAAUAAAAUAUACAAGUUUACAAAUUGACAAAUAAAGGGAAACAACUCAGAUAACUUUAUGUUUAUUGCCACUUUCCGCAAAAGUAUAUCCUUAGUAUAUUGUUCUUUGAUUGUAGCAAACUUGGGGUUUUUU